AACGAACGCUGGCGGCAGGCUUAACACAUGCAAGUCGAGCGCAUCCUUCGGGGUGAGCGGCAGACGGGUGAGUAACGCGUGGGAACGUACCCUUUCCUACGGAAUAGCUCCGGGAAACUGGAAUUAAUACCGUAUACGCCCUUAGGGGGAAAGAUUUAUCGGGGAAGGAUCGGCCCGCGUUGGAUUAGCUAGUUGGUGGGGUAAAGGCCUACCAAGGCGACGAUCCAUAGCUGGUCUGAGAGGAUGAUCAGCCACAUUGGGACUGAGACACGGCGCAAACUACUACGGGAGGCAGCAGUGGGGAAUAUUGGACAAUGGGCGCAAGCCUGAUCGAGCCAGGCCGCGUGAGUGAUGAAGGCCUUAGGAUUGAAAAGCUCUUUCAGUAGGGAAGAUAAUGAUGGUACCUACAGAAGAAGCCCCGGCUAACUUCGUGCCAGCCGCCGCCGUAA
This 449-nucleotide ribosomal RNA is filed under the name uncultured bacterium. Its description in RNAcentral is "partial 16S ribosomal RNA". It matches the Rfam family "Bacterial small subunit ribosomal RNA", at positions 29 to 523 of the family's 1533-position model. The record is from RNAcentral.